This 484-nucleotide ribosomal RNA is filed under the name uncultured bacterium. RNAcentral describes it as "partial 16S ribosomal RNA". It matches the Rfam family "Bacterial small subunit ribosomal RNA", at positions 30 to 507 of the family's 1533-position model. The record is from RNAcentral.
AUUGAACGCUGGCGGCAGGCCUAACACAUGCAAGUCGAGCGGAUGAAGGGAGCUUGCUCCUGGAUUCAGCGGCGGACGGGUGAGUAAUGCCUAGGAAUCUGCCUGGUAGUGGGGGAUAACGUCCGGAAACGGGCGCUAAUAUCGCAUACGUCCUGAGGGAGAAAGUGGGGGAUCUUCGGACCUCGCGCUAUUAGAUGAGCCUAGGUCGGAUUAGCUAGUUGGUGGGGUAAAGGCCUACCAAGGCGACGAUCCGUAACUGGUCUGAGAGGAUGAUCGGUCACACUGGAACUGAGACACGGUCCAGACUCCUACGGGAGGCAGCAGUAGGGAAUAUUGGACAAUGGGCGAAAGCCUGAUCCAGCCAUGCCGCGUGUGUGAAGAAGGUCUUCGGAUUGUAAAGCACUUUAAGUUGGGAGGAAGGGCAGUAAGUUAAUACCUUGCUGUUUUGACGUUACCAACAGAAUAAGCACCGGCUAACUUCGUG